RNAcentral lists this ribosomal RNA (552 nucleotides) under uncultured archaeon. RNAcentral's name for it is "bacterial SSU rRNA". It matches the Rfam family "Archaeal small subunit ribosomal RNA", at positions 267 to 823 of the family's 1478-position model. The record is from RNAcentral.
GUACGGGUUGUGAGAGCAAGAGCCCGGAGAUGGAUUCUGAGACACGAAUCCAGGCCCUACGGGGCGCAGCAGGCGCGAAAACUUUACAAUGCGAGAAAUCGUGAUAAGGGAACCCCGAGUGCCCGUAAAUUCGGGCUGUCCGCCAGUGUAAAUAACUGGUGAAGAAAGGGCCGGGCAAGACCGGUGCCAGCCGCCGCGGUAAUACCGGCGGCUCGAGUGGUGGCCACUAUUACUGGGCUUAAAGCGUCCGUAGCUGGAUUGUUAAGUCUCUUGGGAAAUCCACCGGCUCAACCGAUGGGCGUUCAGGAGAAACUGGCAAUCUAGGGACCGGGAGAGGUGAGAGGUACUCCAGGGGUAGGAGUGAAAUCCUGUAAUCCUUGGGGGACCACCUGUGGCGAAGGCGUCUCACUAGAACGGCUCCGACAGUGAGGGACGAAAGCUGGGGGAGCAAACCGGAUUAGAUACCCGGGUAGUCCCAGCUGUAAACGAUGCGCGUUAGGUGUAUCGGUGACCACGAGUCAUCGAGGUGCCGAAGGGAAACCGUGAAACGUG